AUUGAACGCUGGCGGCAGGCCUAACACAUGCAAGUCGAGCGGAUGAAGGGAGCUUGCUCCUGGAUUCAGCGGCGGACGGGUGAGUAAUGCCUAGGAAUCUGCCUGGUAGUGGGGGAUAACGUCCGGAAACGGGCGCUAAUACCGCAUACGUCCUGAGGGAGAAAGUGGGGGAUCUUCGGACCUCACGCUAUCAGAUGAGCCUAGGUCGGAUUAGCUAGUUGGUGGGGUAAAGGCCUACCAAGGCGACGAUCCGUAACUGGUCUGAGAGGAUGAUCAGUCACACUGGAACUGAGACACGGUCCAGACUCCUACGGGAGGCAGCAGGGGGGAAUAUUGGACAAUGGGCGAAAGCCUGAUCCAGCCAUGCCGCGGGUGUGAAGAAGGUCUUCGGAUUGUAAAGCACUUUAAGUUGGGAGGAAGGGCAGUAAGUUAAGACCUUGCUGUUUUGACGUUACCAACAGAAUAAGCACCGGCUAACUUCGU
RNAcentral lists this ribosomal RNA (483 nucleotides) under uncultured bacterium. RNAcentral describes it as "partial 16S ribosomal RNA". It matches the Rfam family "Bacterial small subunit ribosomal RNA", at positions 30 to 506 of the family's 1533-position model. The record is from RNAcentral.